CUUAAUUUCACUCACAAUUUUUCCUCUUCCGAAACAUUUUUUAACAAAAGUUAACAGAAAAAUUCUCCUAUAGUAAAAUAUCCCGAAAUAUUGGUUUAGUGCUCAAUUUGACUCAAGUGGACUCCGGUUUUUUGUCAGCAGGUAGUAUGAAAUAACAACGACAAAACCUGCCGUUUGUAAACUAAUUAGUUGAAACGGACAGUUUUUGAUGCGUGCAUCGUAUCCAACCUUAAAUUUCGAUAAAGAAACAUACAUGGUGACACUUCAUUUCGUACCAUGUCUUGUGGUCCAUCGACGCCCAUCUGCAGAGUGUAAGAGGAAAGUAAUUGAAAAAUGCAAGGAAUGCCAAUUCUUGUUGACACUGCCGCAUUUCUCUCUUAUCGUGGAAUGUGCUCACAAUCACGGCGCAGGAAUUACAAAACGCUCUCUGCGGAAUUGCGAAUAGCCCCGCUUCCUCUCCUCAUUUCUACUACAAAGAAGUUACCCGUCGAAACUGCGAUGUACUAACAAGCCAUUAUUUUCAUCAUCAGAGCGAGAAAAACAAGAAAAAACUGAGCACCUGAAUUUUCGAUUGUGCUCACUCAAGUGUGGAGUGGAGUAUUUACUUCAUACAGUGCCGAACUGCAUCAUUUGCACUUUUUCACCUGCGAGUGGAGGGUAAAGCGAAAUUCGUAAGGGCGCUGUCAAAAUCACGAGAACACCACGUCUGCCGUGUUGAAGAAAAACAUCCUAAGGCCAUUCGAACACUGCCAAAUUUCUCUCAAGUAAAAUAUGCAUUCGUUAGAAAACUUAUGAACAUUUUCCCUUGAAAUUUUCGUACACAUCAGAUCAAAGUACGAAUGAAAUUCUCUAAAAAUUUUUUUAAAGAAAAGUGAUCACGAAAAUAUGGAAGAUGCGUAAUUAUCAAGGGAAAUUUGGCAACGUCUGAGGGUUAUACGGCGUUCAUUCUGAGUACGGCAGACGUUACGGCGCGACCUUUCAGAUACUUCAGAUCAAACUACGAAUGAAAUUCUCUAAAUAAUUUUUAAAAAAAGUCUGAUCUCAAAUAUUAGAAAAUGCAGAUUUGUCAAGGGAAAUUUGGCAACGUGUGAGGGUUCAUACGGCGUUCGUCCUGAGUACGGCAGACGUUACGGCGCGGCGAAAGGACCGUCCGUGUCCCGACGGAUUGCUUCCGAGCGAUAGGAAAGGGAACGUUCUGAGUAGAAUUCCACGUGACAGCCGGGAAAUUAAUGAGGGAUGAACAUUUUGAUGCUUAAAAUUAACACAAACUUGUAACCAUUUAUCACCAUUAUUAUAGACAGUGCGCUCGGGGAAACACAUUGGAGUAUCGGCGCCAAAACACUCCUCUCCGCCGAGCAACAUAUUAUGAAGAUGUACCUUCCAAGUGCAUAAUCGCGCGCUUUUUACGAGAAUUUUUUCGCGCUCUCAAUUUCACGCUACCGCAUGAGACGUAUUUCUGCCAAACGGAACUAUGUGCAUUAAGACAUGAGCUCAAGACCCAUAAGAAUGUAUGCAUAACAGGGCUCACGUCAUAAUGGACAUAAUUCUGUUUGACAGAAAUACGUCCAUGUCUCCUCUAACUUAGUGAUGUAAGCUCCGUUACGCAGCUGGAUGAUAGUCGUGGUUCGAGCCAUUGUUGUCAUGUUGAAAUUUUAUUUUUUUUUUAAUGUAUUGGUAAUACGUUUAAAAUAAUUGAGGCGUUGGGCAGAAAGGACAUUUCUCGGUGGCGGUGUUUCAGAAUCUUCAGUGCUGAUUUUCAUUUUAGAGAGGAAGAUAUUGCGUGAAUUGACAGAAAUUUUACGUUUUCAGCAUUGUAAAGGCAUAUAGAAUAUCCAGUAAAAGUUACGACAAAUUUAGCGGAGAUUUUGAGACAAUGCAACCAAGAAAUUCCUUUUUUACACCCAACGCUUCAAUUACUAGAAAGCAAUAUUCAUGAAUAUCUGCACCACAAUAAACAAGCUUAAAAGCAUUGCGGUGGAAGUAUAUGUAAUUUCUUGUUGCGGAAUGCAGUCUGAAUUUACAAACAGGUUGAAAAGUUUUAUGGUUUUGUUUAGCUUUAGAAUAGCAAUUUUAUUUUUUUUUAGCAGAUAAAAGCAAUAUAAUACAAUGUAAUUUUAGCCCAGCAUGUUAUCGAUCUGGUGCGCCGUAUAUUCCUGAAAAUACAAAUCGCAAUAUCACUUAUACAACUUACUUGUACUUACUUGUUCUUAUAUGAGUUAGCUGAUUUGAGUGAGCCCUAAGAAAAACUCAUAAAAAAAAAAAAAAAAAAAAAAAAAAAAAACGCGAGAUAGCUCUAGAUAUGGGAACGUAAAAAACUCUUGACACACACGAAAAAAUUACCAACUGGACGAAAAUACGUCGAUUGUCGGUGUGAAUAUAUACCCCUGUGGUCAACUUAUUUUCGUAUGCUAGGUGGUCUUAUCGGCUGCGUCCGUAGUUUCAACUCCGGACACUCCAAGGGAUCCUGUGGAACAUUGAAAUUGACAAUAAACAUUACGAAUGAGGUCCCAUUCGACAGUAUUUUUUAUUGCAUGGAAACGGCUAAAGGCAGAGUGAAAAUGAAAUUGAAUCAGUGAGAGCGAAAACAUACCAACUCCAUUGCUCGAAAAUGCUCAAUUUUCAGUGAAGAUGGGUAAUUUUAAUGAAGGUGAUUGAAG
Molecule: long non-coding RNA, 2657 nt
Filed under: Bemisia tabaci
Lineage: Eukaryota; Metazoa; Arthropoda; Insecta; Hemiptera; Aleyrodidae
Description: lncRNA ENSSSA1NGG014460
Source: RNAcentral